RNAcentral lists this ribosomal RNA (713 nucleotides) under uncultured Glomeromycotina. RNAcentral's name for it is "SSU rRNA". It matches the Rfam family "Eukaryotic small subunit ribosomal RNA", at positions 373 to 1081 of the family's 1831-position model. The record is from RNAcentral. Lineage: Eukaryota; Fungi; Glomeromycota.
GGGUUCGAUUCCGGAGAGGGAGCCUGAGAAACGGCUACCACAUCCAAGGAAGGCAGCAGGCGCGCAAAUUACCCAAUCCCGACACGGGGAGGUAGUGACAAUAAAUAACAAUACGGGGCUCUUUCGGGUCUCGUAAUUGGAAUGAGUACAAUUUAAAUCCCUUAACGAGGAACAAUUGGAGGGCAAGUCUGGUGCCAGCAGCCGCGGUAAUUCCAGCUCCAAUAGCGUAUAUUAAAGUUGUUGCAGUUAAAAAGCUCGUAGUUGAAUUUCGGGAUUGACACAUCGGUCGUGCCUUAAGGGGUAUGAACUGGUGUAGUCAAUUUCUCACCUUCUGGAGAACCGCGAUGCCCUUAAUUGGGUGUCACGGGGAACCAGGACCUUUACUUUGAAAAAAUUAGAGUGUUUAAAGCAGGCAUUUUGCUUGAAUACAUUAGCAUGGAAUAAUAAAAUAGGACGGCAUGAUUCUAUUUUGUUGGUUUCUAGGAUCACCGUAAUGAUUAAUAGGGAUAGUUGGGGGCAUUAGUAUUCAAUUGUCAGAGGUGAAAUUCUUGGAUUUAUUGAAGACUAACUACUGCGAAAGCAUUUGCCAAGGAUGUUUUCAUUAAUCAAGAACGAAAGUUAGGGGAUCGAAGACGAUCAGAUACCGUCGUAGUCUUAACCAUAAACUAUGCCGACUAGGAAUCAGACGAUGUUAAUUUUUUAAUGACUCGUUU